GAUGAACGCUGGCGGCGUGCUUAACACAUGCAAGUCGAACGAGAAGUGAAGACGGAACCCUUCGGGCGGAAGGCUUUAUUUCGAGUGGCGGACGGGUGAGUAACGCGUGGGUAACCUGCCUCAUACAGGGGGAUAACAGUUGGAAACGACUGUUAAUACCGCAUAAGACCACAGCACCGCAUGGUGCGGGGGUAAAAACUCCGGUGGUAUGAGAUGGACCCGCGUUCGAUUAGCCAGUUGGCGGGGUAACGGCCCACCAAAGCGACGAUCGAUAGCCGAUCUGAGAGGAUGACCGGCCACAUUGGGACUGAGACACGGCCCAAACUCCUACGGGAGGCAGCAGUGGGGAAUAUUGCACAAUGGGGGAAACCCUGAUGCAGCGACGCCGCGUGAGUGAAGAAGUAUUUCGGUAUGUAAAGCUCUAUCGGCAGGGAAGAAAAUGACGGUACCUGAGUAAGAAGCCCCGGCUAACUACGUG
Molecule: ribosomal RNA, 478 nt
Filed under: uncultured bacterium
Lineage: Bacteria
Description: partial 16S ribosomal RNA
Rfam family: Bacterial small subunit ribosomal RNA
Source: RNAcentral